Potamilus streckersoni is the source of this 75-nucleotide non-coding RNA. Lineage: Eukaryota; Metazoa; Mollusca; Bivalvia; Unionida; Unionidae. The record is from the annotation of a GenBank genome assembly.
CGGGGUAUAGCGCAGUUUGGCUAGCGCACCUGCUUUGGGAGCAGGGGGUCGCAGGUUCGAAUCCUGCUGCCCCGA